GCACAAGCAGUGGAGUAUGUGGUUUAAUUCGAAGCAACGCGAAGAACCUUUACCAGGGCUUGACAUCCCUUGAAGCAGCUAGAGAUAGCUGUGUCCUUCGGGACAAGGAGACAGGUGGUGCAUGGUUGUCGUCAGCUCGUGUCGUGAGAUGUUGGGUUAAGUCCCGCAACGAGCGCAACCCCUGUGGUUAGUUGCCAGCAAGUAGCGUUGGGCACUCUAGCCAGACUGCCGGUGAUAAAUCGGAGGAAGUGGGGACGACGUCAAAUCAUCAUGCCCUUUAUGUCCUGGGCUGCACACGUACUACAAUGGCCGUUACAACGGGAAGCGAAGGAGCAAUCCGGAGCAAAUCCCUUAAAGGCGGUCCCAGUUCAGAUUGUGGGCUGAAACUCGCCCACAUGAAGGCGGAAUUGCUAGUAAUUGCAGAUCAGCAUGCUGCAGUGAAUACGUUCCCGGGCCUU
RNAcentral lists this ribosomal RNA (458 nucleotides) under uncultured bacterium. RNAcentral's name for it is "bacterial SSU rRNA". It matches the Rfam family "Bacterial small subunit ribosomal RNA", at positions 923 to 1382 of the family's 1533-position model. The record is from RNAcentral.